RNAcentral lists this ribosomal RNA (460 nucleotides) under uncultured bacterium. Its description in RNAcentral is "partial 16S ribosomal RNA". It matches the Rfam family "Bacterial small subunit ribosomal RNA", at positions 338 to 795 of the family's 1533-position model. The record is from RNAcentral.
CCUACGGGUGGCAGCAGUGAGGAAUAUUGGUCAAUGGACGAAAGUCUGAACCAGCCAAGUCGCGUGCAGGAAGACUGCCCUAUGAGUUGUAAACUUCUUUUAUAAAGGAAUAAAACGAGGCACGCGUACCUGUUUGCAUGUACUUUAUGAAUAAGGAUCGGCUAACUCCGUGCCAGCAGCCGCGGUAAUACGGAGGAUCCGAGCGUUAUCCGGAUUUAUUGGGUUUAAAGGGAGCGUAGAUGGGUGGAUAAGUCAGUGGUGAAAGCUUGUGGCUCAACCGUGCAAUUGCAAGUGAUACUGGCAGUCUUGAGUGCAGUUGAGGUAGGCGGAAUGUGUGGUGUAGCGGUGAAAUGCUUAGAGAUCACGAAGAACCCCGAUUGCGAAGGCAGCUUACUAAACUGCGACUGACAUUGAGGCUCGAAAGUGUGGGUAUCAAACAGGAUUAGAUACCCCAGUAGUC